This 322-nucleotide ribosomal RNA is filed under the name uncultured Glomeromycotina. RNAcentral's name for it is "SSU rRNA". It matches the Rfam family "Eukaryotic small subunit ribosomal RNA", at positions 569 to 898 of the family's 1831-position model. Lineage: Eukaryota; Fungi; Glomeromycota. The record is from RNAcentral.
AGCAGCCGCGGUAAUUCCAGCUCCAAUAGCGUAUAUUAAAGUUGUUGCAGUUAAAAGCUCGUAGUUGAAUUUCGGGGUUAGUACGCUGGUCGUGCCUUCGGUACGUACUGGUGUUACUGUUUCCUACCUUCUGAAGAACCGUCAUGUCAUUAAUUUGGUGUGGCGGGGAAUCAGGACUGUUACUUUGAAAAAUUGAGUGUUUAAAGCAGGCUCGCGCUUGAAUACAUUAGCAUGGAAUAAUGAAAUAGGACGUUUGAUCCUAUUUUGUUGGUUUCUAGGAUUGACGUAAUGAUUAAUAGGGAUAGUUGGGGGCAUCAGUAUU